This 1077-nucleotide long non-coding RNA is filed under the name Oreochromis niloticus (Nile tilapia). RNAcentral describes it as "lncRNA (ENSONIG00000033308.1)". Lineage: Eukaryota; Metazoa; Chordata; Actinopteri; Cichliformes; Cichlidae. The record is from RNAcentral.
AUGACUACUCCAGGAAGCGGGGUCAGAGGAGGCCACACAGCGCAGAGCCGACUCCAGCUGCUGAUUAGCCCUCUCAGUCUGUCCGUUAGAUUGCGGGUGAUAGCCCGAGGAAAGGCUCACCCCCACCCCCAAAACAGCACAAAAAGCCCUCCACACCCGAGAAACAAACUGAGGCCCCCUGUCAGAUACAAUGUCCAAAGGUAUCCCAUGCAACCGAAAGACAUGGUCCACCAGCAAACGAGCAGUCUCGAGGGCCGAAGGGAGCUUAGAAAGAGGGACAAAAUGCGCCGCCUUGGAGAACCUGUCGACAAUGGUGAGGAUGACCGAGUGGUUAGAGGAACGCGGCAGCCCAGUAACAAAGUCCACCGCAAUAUGCGACCAGGGCCGACCCGGAACAGGCAGGGGAUGCAGCAGCCCGGGAGGGGCCAGGUGGCGGCUCUUAUUGCGCGCACAGGUGUCACAGGCCAGCACAUAUUCACGGGCAUCACUCGCCAAAGUGGGCCACCAAAAAGAGCGCCGCAACAGAGAAACCGUACGACGCACACCAGGGUGACAGGCGAGUCGAGAAGCGUGCACCCAAUGCAGAACGCGCGCACGCACGGCCGAUGGAACAAACAGCUUACCCGGCGGACCCGAACCAGGGUCCGGUUCCCGCAGCUGCGCACGGCGCACCAGGCCCUCAAUACCCCACGUCAGGGCCCCCACCACACAGGACGAGGGGACGAUAGUAGCCGCCCCAGUAGACUCAAAGUCGGGAGAAAAUUGACGAGACAAAGCGUCAGGCUUAGUGUUGCGGGAACCCGGUCGAAAAGAGAUAGUAAAAUUAAACCGGCUAAAAAACAGCUGCCACCGGGCCUGCCUGGAAUUAAGCCGCUUUGCACUCCGAAUGUAGGAAAGAUUUUUAUGAUCAGUCCAAACCACGAACGGCUGACCCGUCCCCUCCAACCAAUGACGCCAUUCCUCCAAAGCCAGCUUAACCGCCAGCAGCUCUCGGUUUCCCACGUCAUAGUUCCGCUCAGCAGAAGAAAACCGCCGCGAAAAAAACGCGCAGGGAUGAAGGCGGCCAUCGUCGGGUGA